GACGAACGCUGGCGGCGUGCUUAACACAUGCAAGUCGAACGGAAAGGCCCUGCUUUUGUGGGGUGCUCGAGUGGCGAACGGGUGAGUAACACGUGAGUAACCUGCCCUUGACUUUGGGAUAACUUCAGGAAACUGGGGCUAAUACCGGAUAGGAGCUCCUGCUGCAUGGUGGGGGUUGGAAAGUUUCGGCGGUUGGGGAUGGACUCGCGGCUUAUCAGCUUGUUGGUGGGGUAGUGGCUUACCAAGGCUUUGACGGGUAGCCGGCCUGAGAGGGUGACCGGGCACAUUGGGACUAAGGUACGGACCAGACUCCUACGGGAGGCAGCAGUGGGGAAUAUUGCGCAAUGGGCGGAAGCGUGAUGCAGCAACGCCGCGUGCGGGAUGACGGCCUUCGGGUUGUAAACCGCUUUCGCCUGUGACGAAGCGUGAGUGACGGUAAUGGGUAAAGAAGCACCGGCUAACUACGUG
This 468-nucleotide ribosomal RNA is filed under the name uncultured bacterium. Its description in RNAcentral is "partial 16S ribosomal RNA". It matches the Rfam family "Bacterial small subunit ribosomal RNA", at positions 28 to 507 of the family's 1533-position model. The record is from RNAcentral.